RNAcentral lists this unclassified non-coding RNA (339 nucleotides) under soil metagenome. RNAcentral describes it as "partial contains 5.8S ribosomal RNA, internal transcribed spacer 2, and large subunit ribosomal RNA". The stretch from base 1 to 120 matches the Rfam family "5.8S ribosomal RNA", at positions 35 to 154 of the family's 154-position model. The record is from RNAcentral.
GAUGAAGAACGCAGCGAAAUGCGAUACGUAGUGUGAAUUGCAGAAUUCAGUGAAUCGUCGAAUCUUUGAACGCACAUUGCACCUCUCGGUAUUCCGGGAGGUAUGCCUGUUCGAGCGUCAUUUGUACCCUCAAGCUCUGCUUGGUGUUGGGUGUUUGUUCCGCCUCUGUGUGUGAACUCGCCUCAAAACAAUUGGCAGCCGGCGUACUUGUUUCGGAGCGCAGCACAUUUUGCGAUCCAGAUCAACGUACAGCGGCAUCCAAGAAGCCUUAUUUAACGCUCUUGACCUCGGAUCAGGUAGGGAUACCCGCUGAACUUAAGCAUAUCAAUAAGCGGAGGA